GAUGAAGAACGUAGCGAAAUGCGAUACGUAAUGUGAAUUGCAAAUUCAGUGAAUCAUCGAGUCUUUGAACGCAUAUUGCGCCCCCUGGUAUUCCGGGGGGCAUGCCUGUCCGAGCGUCAUUGCUGCCCUCAAGCACGGCUUGUGUGUUGGGCCCCGUCCUCCGAUUCCGGGGGACGGGCCCGAAAGGCAGCGGCGGCACCGCGUCCGGUCCUCGAGCGUAUGGGGCUUUGUCACCCGCUCUGUAGGCCCGGCCGGCGCUUGCCGAUCAACCCAAAUUUUUAUCCAGGUUGACCUCGGAUCAGGUAGGGAUACCCGCUGAACUUAAGCAUAUCAAUAAGCGGAGGA
RNAcentral lists this unclassified non-coding RNA (345 nucleotides) under soil metagenome. RNAcentral describes it as "partial contains 5.8S ribosomal RNA, internal transcribed spacer 2, and large subunit ribosomal RNA". The stretch from base 1 to 119 matches the Rfam family "5.8S ribosomal RNA", at positions 35 to 154 of the family's 154-position model. The record is from RNAcentral.